Xyrichtys novacula (pearly razorfish) is the source of this 4699-nucleotide non-coding RNA. Lineage: Eukaryota; Metazoa; Chordata; Actinopteri; Labriformes; Labridae. The record is from the annotation of a GenBank genome assembly.
GGGGGGGGGUGGAGCUCCAUAAAGACUGAACAGAGAGAGAGCGAGAGGGGGAGAGAGGGAGUGUCAGCAGGUAGAACAGGUUUGGGCGAGGCGGGCGAGCAAGCUUCACACAGAGAGAAAAGGAGAGAGAGAGAGAAAACCAGAUUUGAUUGUUUGUUCAGUUUGUGAGUUUAAAGUCAGACGGUGGAGGAGCAGAGAAGAGAGAGAGCUCAGCUCCGAGGGUCGACCAGGACGAACGAGAGGAGAAAAAAGAAAGAAGAAGAGGAGGAGAAAAAGAAGAGGAGAAGAAGAGGAGAAGGAGAGUGAAAGACAGGUGAGCUCAGGUGAGACAGAGUCUAUGUCUCUAACUCUCUAACUGAAGGUAAAUCUGUGUAAACUGAUCUGUGCUGACUCUGGGAUUCAGACACACACUGUCCACAGGGGGGCGCUGCAUAAAGGCAGGGAGGGGCUGCGGUCUCACAGUGAACUUUGUGUGAACAAUAGCUGCGUCCGAAUUGCCAAGUAGUAGUCGAAGUAGUAGUCGAAGUAGUAUCUAGCAUGUCCGAAUUGGCCACCGGAGCGAGUAGCAUGCUACUUCAGAUACUACUUCAAAUACUAGACACGCCCAUAUUGUAGGUUGGUCUCGGUGCAUCCUACGGGCAUGCUACUGACCCAAAAUGCACCGCGGGCUUCUUCUUCGUCCUCUUAAAAGUUGUAGUAGCGCAUGUGAUGCUAGCGCCACCAGCUGCUCUGCCUAUUUAAAUGUGUCGCGAACGCCGGCUGGCCACAGCAGCGCGCACCAUGUCGGAGCAGCAGCAGCAGCAGCAGAAGGCGGGACCGCAGCAGUACAGAUGUAAGUUUCAUGUAACUUCACACACUGUCCUAAAAAAAUGUGCGGUUGUAUCUCUUUGUCAUGUCAUGGUGUCAUAUUUGCCCAAGUAAUCAUUUUAUGAGCAAAUAUGUGGCGACAUCAUGGAGGUAAAGCUCACUUAUUCCAUCAUUAAACUGCAUAGCUGCAGUACUACAGCCAGGCCCGCAGAUGAGGGGCUUCAGUUACCACUGUCUGCACGGGCGCAGUACCUACUCUCUGCCUGCGGGGGUCGUCUUUCCCCACCGCUCGUCUAGUGUGUCCGAAUUGGGCCAACGUGUUUUGUAUGUAGGAGUAGGAUCUAGCAGUAGUAUGUAGCAGUAGCAUGUAGUAUCCGAGCGGGCAAUUCGGACGCAGCAAGUGUCACUGGACCCUACACACCAUAGCUGUGUCCGAAUUGCCAAGUAGUAGUCGAAGUAGUAGUCGAAGUAGUAUCUAGCAUGUCCAAAUUGGCCACCGGAGUGAGUAGCAUGCUACUUCAGAUACUACUUCAGAUACUAGACACGCCCACAUUGUAGGUUGGUCUCGGUGCAUCCUACGGGCAUGCUACUGACCCAAAAUGCACCGCGGGCUUCUUCUUUGUCCUCUUAAAAGUUGUAGAAGCGCAUGUGAUGCUAGCGCCACCAGCUGCUCUGCCUAUUUAAAUGUGUCGCGAAUGCCGGCUGGCCACAGCAGCGCGCACCAUGGCGGAGCAGCAGCAGCAGCAGCAGCAGGGGGCAGGACCGCAGCAGUGCAGAUGUAAUUUUAAUGUAACUUCACACACUAUCCUAAAAAAAUGUGAGGUUGUAUCUCUUCGUCAUGUCAUGGUGUCAUAUUUGCCCAAGUAAUCAUUUUAUGAGCAAACAUGUGGCAACAUCAUGGAGGUAAAGCUCACUUAUUCCAUCAUUAAACUGCACAGCUACAGUAAUCAGGCAGAUCUCAUUGAACAAUCGAUCACCACGUGAGUGAAUGAAGGCUAAAAGUCAUGGAAAAGCUACUUUGUGAAUUUCUAAAGCAGUGCAGGAAUAUAAUACAGCAGCAUCUAUCACUUGCACAAUUACCAUUCAGUCUAAAACGGGCGCAGUACCUACUCUCUGCCUGCGGGGGUCGUCUUUCCCCACCGCUCUUCUAGUGUGUCCGAAUUGGGCCAACGUGUUUAGUAUGUAGGAGUAGGAUCUAGCAGUAGCAUGUAGCAGUAGCAUGUAGUAUGCGAGCAGGCAAUUCAGACACAGCACAUAUCAGUAAGAACCGGAUGGGAGGAGUGGGCGCGGCCAAUGACAUCAUACAUGAGAUCAGGAGUGUGUUGAUAUCAGCUCCAACAUCAUAUAUAUAUAUAAAUAUAUAUAUAUAUGUGUGUGUGUGUGUCAGUCUUUAUGUAUUUAUGUCAAUAUCAGUUUGUUUAAUAUUUAACAGUUAGUUUAAUAUUUAUGUAUAUUAAUGUCCAAGGUUUCUAUAUGCAUACGUCCAUACAUGUUUCUUAAUGUUAAUACAUGUUUAUAUCAGUCAGCAUAAAUUUACAUGUUUAUAUGUGUUUCAAUGUGUUUAUAUUUGCAUUUGCAAGUUUACAUGUUUAUAUAACUUCAAAAUUUUAAUGUUUUUUGAUAAAUGUUUUAUAUGUUGAUGUUUAUCUCCCUCUUUCACUCUCUGUCUUCCUGCCCCCCCCCCCCCCCCCUCUCUCUCUCUGUCGCUCGACCUCCACAGAGCUCUCUCACUGUCACUUCCUGCCGUGUUCUGAUUGGACUGUUUCAUCUUUGGCCCCACCCCUUGUGACAGAUCGUGAUGUCAAACAUUAACGUGUCUCUGGAAAACCCCUACGGGGAGGUGCAGAUCCCCCGGGCUAAGCUCCGCCCCUCUGAUGAUGCCAUGGUGAUCGCCAAUCCGAUGACUCUAAACAGUGACAAUGGGAACCCGUACGGCGUAUCAAGCUCCGCCCCUCCACCAUAUAUGGUGAAGGAAGCAGGGGGGGAGGGGGAGGAGGGGGGGAGGUGUCGGGUGUGCUGCUACCGCUGUAGGAGGAGGAAGUGAUAUCACUGCGGCGGGAGGAAUGUGAUUGGCUCAGACUUAUUUAUUUACUGCUGAUGAAUUUCCUUCGCUCUGAGGGAACAGUGAAGGAAACAACAAGUGAAGGAAACGAGGAGGCAACGAGGGAAGGAGGAAGUGAGAAAAAAGGAUAAAGCAAAUCACAAAAGGAAAGGAGAGAAGGAGAAGAAACAAAGGCAGGACACAACAAGUCAAUGAAAAAGCAAAAAAAAAAAAACUGAGUUAAAAUCUUUUCAAAUGACAAAACACCAUCUUAGCGAGGUCAUGUGACCUGAUCUGGGUUAGGAGGGUCAGUAGAGAGCUGUUACCAAUCAAAUCCAUUAAAGAGUUCGUAAUGUAAACGCAUGUUUUUGAGGAGAUUAAAGCUCCCCAUGGUCAUGAGAGGGGAGUUUUAAUAAUGUUAAUAUUUUUAUAUAAACAUUGUUAAACAUUUAUCGGAUCAUUAAAACUCUGACUGAACGCCAUGUUCAUGUUUUUUUUAUAAACAAUAAAAAUGCGUCACGUACAGAUUCUGAUCCAAAUUCGCUCAUUAGGAAAGAGUUUGUAUUCCAAUGUAGAGGGGGGGGGGGUUAUGCUGAUCAUUAUUCUGAAUUGCGUCCAUGUAAACGCUUUUUCCGAUCAUGACUCUCUGUUGGGGCAAAGCUAAACUGACUGCACAUGUGACCCAGACGCUAACUUGACGCAUUUCCGCCAUUAAUGACGAAACGUAAAGAUGGUGGGAUCCAGGAGCGACUGUCUGUCUGACAGAACUUUGUUAAAGUCCAGCCUCCUCAUGUGACGCAGGAUCAGGAUGUGCUGCUGGACCUGCCUGAUAAGCAUGAACUGGGCUCAGGUUGUUCUAAGUGAUGGGGAAACUCCUGAACCGAAUGACGUAAGCCUCGACUGCGUUUGUUGGUUUGUUGGCAGGACAGGCGUAAAUACAACUCUUUUUCUUCUUCUUCCUUUUCUUCUUCUGUGGUUGUUUUAGCAAAGUUUGAGAACUCUUCACGUGUCCAAAUGUUUCUAAUCUGAAUUAAACUUGGUGCUCGUAAACGAGCGUCAUGAUCGAAUCGUUGGGUUUCACGCCCAUUUUCACGGUGGAUUCGGAUUUUACGAUCCUUCAAAAUUUUAAUCGGAUUAAGAAAUUUCACAGAUGUAAACAUGGCUGAUGUGUAAAGGGGAGGUGUCGUCUCUUAAUGACCUCCAGAAAGCAGAGGGAGGGUCGGCGCUGACAGGAAGUCCUUCUUCUGUGAGGGUAACCAUGAGGUCUGACGCAGAGUGGAGGGGGAGGAGUCAGCUGGAACAGACGGUCAAGGGUUUUUUAUGAUUGGAUAUCCGACUGUCUAAAAACACGUUUGUUUUUUUUUCGAUCACUCGCUCAUCUUCAGGAUGAAAUAAGAGUUCUCACUUUGUCCACAGGGGGGCGCCAAACUGACGAUCAAAGGUCGUCACAGGAGCUUUAAUGAAUCGAAUCAGACACUGAGUCUGUUAUUAUGAUUGAUAUGAACUGAUAUUAUGAAUGAGUGAACGAAGAUGAAGGAGUUAAUCUGAAAAUUGCUGUGAUACUUGAUUAAAUCUGUACUCACUGUGAUAAAAGUCUUCAAGUCUGUUUGUUUGGGUUUUUCAACAUUAUUUAUGUAAAGUUAUGACAAUAUUAAUAAUUUAUGAAUGAAUAAUCUGAUCUGUUUUUGUUCCACAUGGUGACGCCUGUCAGGAGGAGUUUGUAUUUUACAUAAAGUAUUUUUAUAUUUUCAUAACCAGGACUGGAGUUUGAAGGAGAUUUAAUAAGAGACUUUAAAUAAAAACAGUAAAUCAACAUGAACCUGCUUGAACGGAAUUAUCUUCAAAAUUAAG